This is a long non-coding RNA of Dunckerocampus dactyliophorus (ringed pipefish), 2051 nucleotides long. RefSeq lists it as uncharacterized. Lineage: Eukaryota; Metazoa; Chordata; Actinopteri; Syngnathiformes; Syngnathidae. The record is from RefSeq and is a predicted model, not a curated record. The transcript is spliced from 6 exons.
UCUUACACUAUUUGGAGUUGAUCUAACACUGCAUUUUCUUAAAAAUGUUAAAUUUAACACUGGAUCAUGAAAGUGUUGUAGUUAAAAUGGAGUGUUGAAAAUGUUCAAAUCUUGUUAGUGUCACAAUAAAGACAUUCAACACUUCCACACCCCAUUUAACACCUAACAGUGUUCACGUGUCUUAAGCUCCGCCCACGGACAUUUCAUUUAGACUCCACCCCUCACCUCAGUUGCUGAUGGAAGAAGUUGAUAAUUAGGAAUCAUUUUGCAUCAGUAGGUAAGUAAACGUUUAAAUACUGUAGAUGAACUAAUGAAUUGUGUUGUACCUUGUUUACACAUAAAAAAACGUUACUUUUUGGUGUGAUAUUUAAGACUAAUAAACUGAGGCAGCUGUUUCCACCCAAAGCCUUUGCUAAUGUUAGCUCGUGUUUUUGCUAAGAUAUAUUUUCUAUUUAGUGUUGCUGUGAGCUGAAUCGGCACUGCCUGUGCAACAUUUGGAAAAGUAAGUGAACGCUACGUUAUAUCUUCAUUAUACUGUCUUCAUUUUUAAUGAGCUAAUGGCUAACUAGCUAAUUGGCACGAGGAUCCCCCACACGUAGGCCUGCUGGCCCCCAGCAAAGGACUUGAUAUGCUGUACAAGAUACAAGAUAUCAAGGUUGGCAACUCUAAUUGUUACUUUAACUUAAAAAUAAUUGUCAGGCGUGUGUUGGAAGUGAACUACACAAUUUUUUUUUUUAGAAUGAUGCAUCUUUAUUUUUCUUCUUGAUUCACAGCAAACCUUUGCUGGAGUCUUACAUGAAUGUGAGGUGGAUGGAGAUGUGUAGACUCCACUAUCCCUUCACCCCAGUUAUUGCCAGUUGGUGCGAGCCUCCACUCUUGCCGACUACAUCCCAUUCUUUAGGUUCGACAAUUUAUCCUUCAGCCCACAAGAGGAACCCAACAGAACCAAUGGAUCAGGAUGAAGCAUGACGGAAAGUCGGUGGUGUUUUGAGGGCCAAUUCGAAAGGUGAGGAAAUCUUCAAGGAGUGCACCAAGACUGAAACACUAACCGAUGCAAGGUGUAAACAGAUGGUGAACAUCCUGGUUGCAGAUAUGAUGGAGCUGCAUGGGAGGGUUCCGCCAUCAUGUGUGAUGAGAAAUUACGCCCUGAGAAUUGUGACUUGUUUUCCAUACCUAAAAGAUCCAUUCUCCAAACCUGGAUUUGAUGCUUAGCUUAGCCGCAGUGGCUCAGGAGGUAGAGCAGGUCGUCCAGAAAUCGUAAGGUUGGUUGAUCCUUGCUCCCUCCACCCAGUCACUGUUGUGUCCUACACUUCUCCUGGCUCUCAAAGCCGUUCCAAGACUGUUUCUUCAUGAUGGUCCAAAAACCAGAGGAGAACAUCUGUUAACUGGUCAACAGCUGUUUGGUGAGGAGUGCAGGGAGGCGCUAUCUACAAUAAGACAUUCAACUGAUGAAUCCGUGGUCAAAGAAGAUGAGAACAACUUUCCAGUAUCGACAGAAUAUGAUCCAAGCACAAGAUGUAUCAUCGUCUGUUCUCAAUGUGUUCCCUCGCUUCCUUGAUGUUCCUGGAUUGAUUGACCAGGAUUUCUCAAUGAUGUUUGGUGAUGAAGUAUCUCAGAGGUUCCUGGCUAAGUGGUCAACUGUCUUCAAACCAAAAGUCAUUGCAGACUUCAAGACUCUCCCGCAAAAGCAGAACAUUGAUGAGCUGCUGUCAGGAACUGAACCUCAACCUGAUGACAGCUGUGGGUGAGAAGUUACGGUAUAGAUUACCAUGUUGGUGUGUUCAAAUGUACUGGAUGUAGCUUUGAUCUACCUGUGUUCAAGAAGAUCUGUGAUAUAAUAAAACACAAAGAAUGUGCUUUUACAAUAGCUGUAAUGUAGAAACAAUGUACUAUGAUGACCUGUUUAACGCGUACUGCAUAGAAGACCAAAUGCUUGAGUUUUCUGUCAUGUUUUUAAAUGAACUGACUCAUUUCAGACCAUUUGACAAGCAGUACUCUAAUGACAGUUGUCAAAAAGCAAACAUACUGUUGUGCCCUGCUGUUAUUUAAGC